GACGAACGCUGGCGGCGUGCUUAACACAUGCAAGUCGAACGGAAAGGCCCUGCUUUUGUGGGGUGCUCGAGUGGCGAACGGGUGAGUAACACGUGAGUAACCUGCCCUUGACUUUGGGAUAACUUCAGGAAACUGGGGCUAAUACCGGAUAGGAGCUCCUGCUGCAUGGUGGGGGUUGGAAAGUUUCGGCGGUUGGGGAUGGACUCGCGGCUUAUCAGCUUGUUGGUGGGGUAGUGGCUUACCAAGGCUUUGACGGGUAGCCGGCCUGAGAGGGUGACCGGCCACAUUGGGACUGAGAUACGGCCCAGACUCCUACGGGAGGCAGCAGUGGGGAAUAUUGCACAAUGGGCGGAAGCCUGAUGCAGCAACGCCGCGUGCGGGAUGACUGCCUUCGGGUUGUAAACCGCUUCCGCCUGUGACGAAGCGUGAGUGACGGUAAUGGGUAAAGAAGCACCGGCUAACUACGUGCCAGCAGCCGCGGUGAUACGUAGGGUGCGAGCGUUGUCCGGAUUUAUUGGGCGUAAAGGGCUCGUAGGUGGUUGAUCGCGUCGGAAGUGUAAUCUUGGGGCUUAACCCUGAGCGUGCUUUCGAUACGGGUUGACUUGAGGAAGGUAGGGGAGAAUGGAAUUCCUGGUGGAGCGGUGGAAUGCGCAGAUAUCAGGAGGAACACCAGUGGCGAAGGCGGUUCUCUGGGCCUUUCCUGACGCUGAGGAGCGAAAGCGUGGGGAGCGAACAGGCUUAGAUACCCUGGUAGUCCACGCUGUAAACGGUGGGUACUAGGUGUGGGGUCCAUUCCACGGGUUCCGUGCCGUAGCUAACGCUUUAAGUACCCCGCCUGGGGAGUACGGCCGCAAGGCUAAAACUCAAAGGAAUUGACGGGGCCCCGCACAAGCGGCGGAGCAUGCGGAUUAAUUCGAUGCAACGCGUAGAACCUUACCUGGGUUUGACAUGGAUCGGGAGUGCUCAGAGAUGGGUGUGCCUCUUUUGGGGUCGGUUCACAGGUGGUGCAUGCCUGUCGUCAGCUCGUGUCGUGAGAUGUUGGGUUAAGUCCCGCAACGAGCGCAACCCUUGUUCACUGUUGCCAGCACGUUAUGGUGGGGACUCAGUGGAGACCGCCGGGGUCAACUCGGAGGAAGGUGGGGAUGACGUCAAGUCCUCAUGCCCCUUAUGUCCAGGGCUUCACGCAUGCUACAAUGGCUGGUACAGAGAGUGGCGAGCCUGUGAGGGUGAGCGAAUCUCGGAAAGCCGGUCUCAGUUCGGAUUGGGGUCUGCAACUCGACCUCAUGAAGUCGGAGUCGCUAGUAAUCGCAGAUCAGCAACGCUGCGGUGAAUACGUUCCCGGGGCU
Molecule: ribosomal RNA, 1346 nt
Filed under: uncultured bacterium
Lineage: Bacteria
Description: bacterial SSU rRNA
Rfam family: Bacterial small subunit ribosomal RNA
Source: RNAcentral